UCAGGGUUGGAUUGACAUGAGCUGACCACAAAAGGAGAAUCUAACUCCGGACCCACAGGAAGUACACAAGAAGCAGUUGCUUCCAACCCCAAGCAAGUUCUUAAGUUGAAGACGUUUGUUAAGAGGUCGCUCUCCAAACUGAAUGUCGUCUACGCCUGCAGUCCUCCCCCAAACAUACCUUACGCAAUUCUGGAACAUUCUGGGGAUAAUUUGCUGGGAAGUGUAAGAAGAUGUAAGUGUUUGGAUACACACAUAGCCACUGGACCUAUAGAAAUUAGCUGUGUUCGAGGCAAAGGGGGCCCCUUGUGGACAUCACCAGAGUCCAAGUGUAUCAGCCGAGGAGUGAAAACAGUUUCUUUGCAGUCUACAAACCUUACGUUAGAUAGAUAGACCAGGAUCAAACCCGCUGUUUUGCUGAAUAUUUUCAACUGAAAGCACAAACAACGAUGGGUUUUCAGCCAAGGAAACAAAACGUGACUAUUGACAUGGACAUGCUAAAUGAUUUGCCUGCAAUACUGUAAUAAAGUACACAGUUUGAAAAAAAAAUUAAAAUAUCAUUUUCCGAAAAAGAGGUUAGACUAAUAAAAGUGAUCCUGGGUAAAGUAUUUUGGUAAAAAAUGAAGACAGCUCCGCUAAGAAUUUAUGUAAACAUCAGUAUCUCACGCAAACAAUGCAUUUUUUACCCCAAGGCAUGAUGAAAAGCAUGCAUAAUUACUACACUACAUGUCAAUUACUGCCCUGGGAAAAUUGUGAACUAUCUGUCUGAAAUCGAAAUAGUGUCUUGCUGUAAUCCGAAAGCAGUAUAUUAUAUACAGAAUUAAGAAGAUAUAUCAAAAUAUUUUCACUUGAUUUGUGCUAACUUGAUAUGAAGCUAAUAUGACAUCUGCAAAAUCGCGAGGGAUUGGUUGGUGCCCGAGCCCAAUCGGGAUUCUAAGGAUGUUUUAACACCAAAUGAACAUGCGCUAACGCUAUUCUAGCAUAAAUACCUAUAAAUUGAUAUAUUGUCCCUAAACGUCUUAAAUAUUAUACAUAUUACUCAAACUUAGCUUAUUCUUGUUAGGAUGUAGAAGGUACAUUGUGCAAAGUGAAAAUGAGAUUUUAUCAAGCCUGUAUUUUACUGACACAUAUACUGUACCACUGCUCAUGACCACCGGAAGGUGAUGGUACGAUGGUAAAAAUGUGAUGGUACGAUGGUGAUAACGCGAUGGUACGAUGGUGAUUACG
Molecule: long non-coding RNA, 1224 nt
Organism: Mercenaria mercenaria
Lineage: Eukaryota; Metazoa; Mollusca; Bivalvia; Venerida; Veneridae
Exons: 4
Source: RefSeq, a predicted model, not a curated record